RNAcentral lists this long non-coding RNA (1542 nucleotides) under Nicotiana benthamiana. Its description in RNAcentral is "long non-coding RNA (NBEN_LNC027519)". The record is from RNAcentral. Lineage: Eukaryota; Viridiplantae; Streptophyta; Magnoliopsida; Solanales; Solanaceae.
AUGCGCCCAAGGUCAACUGCUACCGACUCUUGUACGUCUCGGCUAGUGUUGCUUAGCUCUUCACUCCCAAACGCCGCAAACUGGCCUCAUCGCCGGGACUAGUACCUGGCAAGUUUUCCUGAAGCUUAUCGGAACGUUUAGUUCUAUUGCGUCCUGCCGAAAGUCUGAACGGGAGUCGCCGAAAGUACUGUAGCUUGCCGGAAAUCCUCGCCGGAAAAAUAUGGCACCUGUCCAAGAAAACAGAACACACCCACACACACUUACAAAAAGCAGAAAAGAGAAUAGGAAGAAAAGAGCAGGGAUCGCCGGAGGAGAAUUGAUAAACAAAAGAAAAGGAAGAUUCAAGUGUCGCCUCAGUCUGCAACUAUCGGAAAGAAAAUGUUAACUGGGAUACAUUCAAGUUGAAUUGAUAAGGAAAAUUACAGCUAGUUAACUAUCGAUAAUUUAAAAGUUGGUAGAGACUUCCAACAGUAAGUAGCAUGGAAAUAGCUAAGCAAUAUUUCAAGUAAUAAACACAAAAUUAGAUAUUUUAAAAGGGAUAGAAAGCUGAAUAAAUCUGUGACCACCGCUAAUUGACAAAAUAGCAACUGCUUUACCUAUACCUCAACCCGUAGGGUUUUUACGUCACGUGCUCAAGUCUACCACUUGAUUCUACUUACUCCAAUGAAUCAAAAAUAAUUUGUAACAGUUGAAAGAGGGAUGAAGAAGAGAAGAGAAAGAGAAUAUUGGGGGGAAAAGCAAGAAUUCAAAAUAAUAAUAAUAAUAAUAAUAAUAAUAAUAAUAAUAAUUGGAGAAUCGGGGAAGUCGCUGGAGAUGGGCGUGUCCGGCGGUAGCAGCGUCGCCGGCGGGGGCGGGAGGGGCCGACGCUGGGGUGGGUGGGGGUAGGGGAGCUGACCCUUUAAAGCUAGUGUAGAGAGAGAGGAGAGAGAGAAGGAAAACUGACCGUUUCCGUAGUCACCGGAGGAGCAGGGUGACGCCGGGAAGGGGAGGUCUGUUACGCCACUAUGUUGAUCCAAAUUACUAAGUGCACAUGUUAUGGUUAUUGUCGAGACCCCUGAAGUUUCUUGGUUGAAGUCAGCUCAUCUUUAACUAGAAAAAAGGGAUGUGCGCAACUGUGUUCGUUUGGCAGUUAUUAUUGAGGGUUGGCCCUUUGCUAGAUAUUUUAUUGUUGGUUCCUAGGACAUGCUUACUGGAUUUACCGAAAGAUUAGGUAGUGGUAUCAUCUUCUUGGUUCCAGAAUAAAAUUUAAGGAAUUCGCUACUGUAUUUUUGUUUGCAUGUUGCUCAUGAUGUUUGGCUCUAUGUUAGAGGAUCAUGUGCCAAUUAUUUUGGUUUUUCCAUCCGUAUUUCUGAUGUUGGCCUUGCAAUUGAGGAUGCACAUACUCCUUUUGCCACGGAAUUUGCUUCUGAUGCGCGAAAGCAUGUCCCAUUUGCUAAAGAAGAGUUUUCCAUAAAUAAAGAAAUGGUCCAGGAUAUUACAUUGCAUUAUCUUGAUACUGCAAAUGAUCUGCCACAAGGAGAAAAAGAUAUAUUGUCUCUUAUC